CAAACCCACUGAGGAGCAGGACAUUGAGGCAGAAACAGAAGAACUCAUUUCCUUAACAAUUCCACCUCUGGCUAGGCACCCAAGGGAAUCCUAAAAUUCCAGAGACUCCAUAGCCCAAGGUAGGAAAAUCCCAAGUUGAAAGCCAGCUUCUGCAAUAUGGUGAGGCCUUAAGCAACACAGAGUGGCCCUACCUCAUAAAAUCUAUCUAUCUAUCUAUCUAUCUAUCUAUAUAGUUAUUUCAUAAAAACAUGGACAAAUAAACAGACACUUCCCCCAAAAGAAAUACAAAUGGCCAACAAACACUUGAAAAAAGUGAUUGAUAUCAUUAGUUAUCAAGAAAUGCCAAUGAUAACCAGACCAAGAUACCAGCUCACACCAGUUAGAAUGAAUAUCACCAAAGAAAUAAAAAUGUAACAAAUGUUGACAAGGAUGUAGAACCUUUAUGAGUUGAAGUUAAAGCUUAUAUAGUUGUGAGAUCACUUUGUGAUCAACAACAUAUCUGUUUGUUAAUGAAUUGGAAACAGUUCAAUUUAAAUGUGUGUGUUUGUAUGCACAUGUGCAUAUGUGUGCGCAUGCAGCCAAAUCUUGAAGAGUGCCAAACAAACCUUGGUAGUCUAUAGUAUUUAGUAUCUCUGAUGUGUGGAUUAGAAAUGUUUGAGGCUCAAUUUUUACUUUCCAUACCAUUUGCUGUUUACAAUAAGAACUAGAAAGUGCAAUGCCAACCUCUCUGUGCAAGAACAGUUUCACUCUAAUGUCGCAGAUUCCAUUUUGACUUGCUGUUGGCAAGGAUGACAGAAACCUAUGUGUGGACUCACCUCCUGGCCCUUCAUGGAACCAGCCCCCGGGCAGUGCUGGUAGAAUGCUGAGCCUUUGCUUUAAUACAACAAAUUUCUUGCCAUUUUUCACAGAUUAUUUCACCUAAACAGAUUCCUCUGGUUCCACCCAUGUCCUUAGAACAGUAAUGAUUUGUACAUUUCAAAAUAGAUAGAGUAGGGGCUUUGGAUGUUCUCACACAAUUACAUGGUAUCAUCGAGGAAGUAGAUUUACUCAAUAAACAGAGUUGUGGAAUAAUCAGGUGGUACUCUGCAGAUAUACACAAUUAUUCUGUCAAUUAACAGGAAAAAGAAACAAAGAUAGAGAUGAUAUGCAAGUCCCCUUCUCUUUUUUUAACUUUCAAUUUACUUUAUUUCACACUUCAGUCGAUUUAUAAAUUCAAAUGCCUUUGGCACAACUGGGUGUGGUAUUCCAUAUUUGGAUCAACUCUUUAAUUUCCAGUACACUGUAACUUUCUACUCAUAGUUAUCUUUAUUCUCUGAAAUACUAUUGUAAAUCUUAAAAUCUGAUAUAUUAUCUCUGAUUUUGUACAUUAUUGCUAAGUAUUUAUGUCCUAUCUCAAUAAUAUAAACUGUAAAAUGUGCACUUGGGAAAUAAAUGAAAUUUGCUUCUAUCCAUUAAAAACUAAUUUUGGGUAUUUUCAGGGAUAUGUAAUAGGUGCAUCAUUCUUUCCCAUAAAUAUUAAAAAAAGGAAACAUAAGAGAGUUGUAUCUGCACAUUUUAAUAACCUAGUUUAUAUCAUCAAUGUGUCUGUAAUUUCCUUAUUUAAAUCUAUAAAUUGUAUAAUUUAUAUUUUUACUAUGACAAAUUAAAUUUGGGAAAAUUGAGAGCCUUCAGAGGAAUUUGUUCACUAAAAUCUUAGACCAAUAAAAGGAGAAACUAUCACCUUAUGUACAUAAAGUUCCUUUGGGGCAAUUUGAUUAGGUCACCUUUCAAGGCCACAUGAUAACAGUCCUAAUCCUAUCAGUGGGGCCGAAUUACAUCUAUUCUAAUCAUCUCUGGGAUAUUUUGAAACUUAUCACUUAACAUUUCUUUAUACCUAAAUAUUUUGAUACAUGCA
RNAcentral lists this long non-coding RNA (1894 nucleotides) under Marmota monax (woodchuck). Lineage: Eukaryota; Metazoa; Chordata; Mammalia; Rodentia; Sciuridae. The record is from RNAcentral.